Aethalodelphis obliquidens (Pacific white-sided dolphin) is the source of this 1608-nucleotide long non-coding RNA. RefSeq lists it as uncharacterized. The record is from RefSeq and is a predicted model, not a curated record. NCBI's taxonomy places the organism in Eukaryota, Metazoa, Chordata, Mammalia, Artiodactyla, Delphinidae. The transcript is spliced from 4 exons.
CUUUGUUUUAGAUUCUUUUUUCCCAUAUAGGUCAUUACAGAGCAUUGAAUAGAGCUCCCUGUGCUAUAAAGUAGGUCCUUAUUAGUUAUCUACGGAAGAAGUCCAAUUUAAGCCUCGUUCAUGUAUUGGAAAUCCGUGCUGCAGUUUAUCCUCCAGUCAUACACCACGCUCAGCAUCGUCUGCCCACGAGAACUUUGGGAGCGUAUUGACUCAGUUGCCCCCACGAGUGAUGAGCUCCCUGUCUUUGCCCGACGGCUCCCUGUCAGCGGGGGCUGCCUGUUGCCCCCUGGCAGACAUGAUGGGGAGGCUCAAAUAAGCCUAUUAAUAUUCAGUCAAAUGCCAAUAAAGUCCUUGUGCAAUGUGAUUCAUUCACCAUAUUGAUCUACCCUUUUCAAGCCGAGAGCAAAUUAAGUGAGCAUUGGCUUGUGUUACCUUGAAAACGCAGUACAGGUAAAAAUCAAACUGUAAUCUUCUGUGUACUUGGAAGAUAAAUUGGAAAGGCUAUUCUUUUGGCGCUCAAUUUAGUGUGCCCAACCACUGUCUGGGGGAAAUCAGGGCCUCUGGCGGCACGGCAGGGUUUAUCAGAAGGUGUCUCUGGAUUCGAAAAUGAUCUAAUGAACAAUUCUGCUUGUGUUCUGCAUCUUCUAAAAAUAGUGUCAACAAAUUGGCACCAUCUCCUAAAUAUCUGCUUACAUCCUAUUUUAGCAGCCAACUCAUGGGUUGCCAGGAGUUUAUAAUAUACCCAUCUCAAAAUAAAAAUGCCUCUCCCGCAAAUUGUAAGAGAGAUCAACAGAUUGGUAGCAGGACAAGGGUUCUCAUGGUGCCCAGUGGGGUGAAAGUCUCUCGGAAACUUGCAAACCCCUAUUUAUGGGCUGAAAAGCUUAUAGAGUUUCUUUUUAAGGAUGUUUUCUUUUAAGGAUGUUUUUAAGGAUGUUGAUAUUUUCUUUUAAGGAUGUUGAAACAUUGCUGUCUUCAUGUUCAACUCUUGGGCCAUUGGAGACUUUGACCUCAGAGAAGUGGGAGAAGGAGGCGCCUUCAGGAUUCACGUCCACCAUCAUCUCCUGAAGAUGAUGAGGGGAUGAGGAGUGAAGGGCCUGCUUUCACAUCCAGCUGGGAUGUGACCGGCUUCCAGCCUGGAGCUCUGAGCAUCCCGCAGGCUCUCCAGGCAUCGCAACAGAUGUGCAGGGAACACAGCAGGUACCAAGCCCACAGGCCUGCCCCUUCCCAAACUCCUGCCUCACGGAGCUUUGUAAAGGAGAUCAUCACCACGGAAUUGAAGAUACAGUCAGGGUUUAAUUAAGCUUGGACUUGAGGCUUCAAGUUGUUUGAAAACUUGAGAUUUACAACAAAACGACCCAAGUAACCUAUAUAACCAGUGAAACAGAAAGCAAAGCAAGAAACAUAAUUCUCAAAGGUGACUCACACCUGCUAAGAUUCCUGUGUUAUGGGCAAAUAUCAAAGCCACGAGAGACUUUGGCUCUUUUUGGCUUUCUCAGCUAUUUUGUGAUAGAAUGGAGGGGAAUGAUGUGAAGAGAGUCAUCUGAUUUGAGGUUGGAGUGAAGAGCACAGGCUCCGGACGCGCAGGCUCAGCGGCCAUGGCUCACGGGC